RNAcentral lists this long non-coding RNA (201 nucleotides) under Carica papaya (papaya). RNAcentral describes it as "long non-coding RNA (CPAP_LNC015074)". Lineage: Eukaryota; Viridiplantae; Streptophyta; Magnoliopsida; Brassicales; Caricaceae. The record is from RNAcentral.
UUUAAAAAAAUGAAUAUGAACUGUUCAUCACAUUUAAUCGCAACCGUUCGAUCGCGCCUGAGGAGGGAACGGAUCUGGACUGUCCACGCGCGCGGAUUGCCAGCGUAGCCUUACACGUGGUACUGAGUCAGCGAGCCUUGCUACACGGCGCGCUUCGUUUAGUUGGGGCUACUGACUGGGCAGUUCUACGUGGUGUAAUUU